AUACGGAGGAUGCGAGCGUUAUCCGGAUUUAUUGGGUUUAAAGGGAGCGUAGGCGGGAGCUUAAGUCAGCGGUUAAAUGGUGCGGCUCAACCGUGCCCUGCCGUUGAAACUGGGUUUCUUGAGAGUGCAAGAGGCGGAUGGAAUUCAUGGUGUAGCGGUGAAAUGCUUAGAUAUCAUGAAGAACUCCGAUUGCGAAGGCAGUCCGCUGGGGCACGUCUGACGCUGAUGCUCGAAGGUGCGGGAAUCAAACAGGAUUAGAUACCCUGGUAGUCCGCACGGUAAACGAUGAUUACUAGCUGUUUGCGAAACAAUGUAAGCGGCUGAGCGAAAGCGUUAAGUAAUCCACCUGGGGAGUACGUUCGCAAGAAUGAAACUCAAAUGAAUUGGCGGGG
Molecule: ribosomal RNA, 392 nt
Filed under: uncultured bacterium
Lineage: Bacteria
Description: partial 16S ribosomal RNA
Rfam family: Bacterial small subunit ribosomal RNA
Source: RNAcentral